CUGCGAUAAGCGCCGGUAAGGUGAUAUGAACCGUUAUAACCGGCGAUACCCGAAUGGGGAAACCCAGUGUGACUCGUCACACUAUCAUUAACUGAAUCCAUAGGUUAAUGAGGCGAACCGGGGGAACUGAAACAUCUAAGUACCCCGAGGAAAAGAAAUCAACCGAGAUUCCCCCAGUAGCGGCGAGCGAACGGGGAGGAGCCCAGAGCCUGAAUCAGCAUGUGUGUUAGUGGAAGCGUCUGGAAAGGCGCGCGAUACAGGGUGACAGCCCCGUACACAAAAGCGCAUGUGCUGUGAGCUCGAUGAGUAGGGCGGGACACGUGGUAUCCUGUCUGAAUAUGGGGGGACCAUCCUCCAAGGCUAAAUACUCCUGACUGACCGAUAGUGAACCAGUACCGUGAGGGAAAGGCGAAAAGAACCCCGGCGAGGGGAGUGAAAAAGAACCUGAAACCGUGUACGUACAAGCAGUGGGAGCACCCUUUGGGUGUGACUGCGUACCUUUUGUAUAAUGGGUCAGCGACUUAUAUUCUGUAGCAAGGUUAACCGAAUAGGGGAGCCGGAGGGAAACCGAGUCUUAAUUGGGCGUUAAGUUGCAGGGUAUAGACCCGAAACCCGGUGAUCUAGCCAUGGGCAGGUUGAAGGUUGGGUAACACUAACUGGAGGACCGAACCGACUAAUGUUGAAAAAUUAGCGGAUGACCUGUGGCUGGGGGUGAAAGGCCAAUCAAACCGGGAGAUAGCUGGUUCUCCCCGAAAGCUAUUUAGGUAGCGCCUCGUGAAUUCAUCUCCGGGGGUAGAGCACUGUUUCGGCUAGGGGGCCAUCCCGGCUUACCAACCCGAUGCAAACUGCGAAUACCGGAGAAUGUUAUCACGGGAGACACACGGCGGGUGCUAACGUCCGUCGUGAAGAGGGAAACAACCCAGACCGCCAGCUAAGGUCCCAAAGUCAUGGUUAAGUGGGAAACGAUGUGGGAAGGCCCAGACAGCCAGGAUGUUGGCUUAGAAGCAGCCAUCAUUUAAAGAAAGCGUAAUAGCUCACUGGUCGAGUCGGCCUGCGCGGAAGAUGUAACGGGGCUAAACCAUGCACCGAAGCUGCGGCAG
Molecule: ribosomal RNA, 1100 nt
Filed under: Salmonella enterica subsp. enterica serovar Enteritidis
Lineage: Bacteria; Pseudomonadati; Pseudomonadota; Gammaproteobacteria; Enterobacterales; Enterobacteriaceae
Description: partial 23S ribosomal RNA
Rfam family: Bacterial large subunit ribosomal RNA
Source: RNAcentral